ACAUAAACAGCUCAGUUGGUAGAGCAUGAGACUAUUAAUAUCAGGGUCGUGGGUUCGAGCCCUGUGUUGAGUG
This 73-nucleotide transfer RNA is filed under the name Neotoma lepida (desert woodrat). It matches the Rfam family "tRNA". From Rfam's summary of the family: Transfer RNA (tRNA) molecules are approximately 80 nucleotides in length. Their secondary structure includes four short double-helical elements and three loops (D, anti-codon, and T loops). The record is from Rfam by way of RNAcentral. Lineage: Eukaryota; Metazoa; Chordata; Mammalia; Rodentia; Cricetidae.